RNAcentral lists this transfer RNA (75 nucleotides) under Candidatus Uhrbacteria bacterium. Its description in RNAcentral is "tRNA-Arg". It matches the Rfam family "tRNA". From Rfam's summary of the family: Transfer RNA (tRNA) molecules are approximately 80 nucleotides in length. Their secondary structure includes four short double-helical elements and three loops (D, anti-codon, and T loops). Further hydrogen bonds mediate the characteristic L-shaped molecular structure. tRNAs have two regions of fundamental functional importance: the anti-codon, which is responsible for specific mRNA codon recognition, and the 3' end, to which the tRNAs corresponding amino acid is attached (by aminoacyl-tRNA synthetases). tRNAs cope with the degeneracy of the genetic code in two manners: having more than one tRNA (with a specific anti-codon) for a particular amino acid; and 'wobble' base-pairing, i.e. permitting non-standard base-pairing at the 3rd anti-codon position. The record is from RNAcentral. Lineage: Bacteria; Candidatus Uhriibacteriota.
GUCCCUGUAGCACAACGGAUAGUGCCGCGGACUUCUAAGCCGCUGAUGUUGGUUCGAUUCCAACCGGGGACACCA